AAAACUGACACAGAGAUGGCUGCUGGCACUGCGCUGCUCUGCUGCACUUUGCUGUUUGUCCUUGUCUUCGUCUCUGCAGACCAUAAAUUCAUCACAGCUGAGUCUGGACAGGACGUCACUCUGACAUGUCGAGCUCCAAACAACAACAUCAAAUUUUUAAAGUGGACAAAAGCUUACCUGCAGUCAGAAGUUGUCAUUUUGCACUGGGAUGGUCACUUUGAUCCAUUUUAUCAGCAUCCAUCUUUUAAGAACCGGGUGGAUCUGCAGGACAGACAGAAUGUGACGAUUAAUGACAUACGAGUGUUGAGCUGAUGUGAGAGAAACACGCUUAUGGGAUCUCAGCAGCAUCUACCUGAGUGUUGUUGAUCCUCCAGAGAAACACACCACCACACCUCCACCUACAUUGAGCAGCUCACCUCCACCUACAUCCACACCUCCACCUGGUUCCACCUCCAUCACUCUUCCUCUAUCACUCUCUACUCCUCUC
Molecule: long non-coding RNA, 487 nt
Organism: Oreochromis niloticus (Nile tilapia)
Lineage: Eukaryota; Metazoa; Chordata; Actinopteri; Cichliformes; Cichlidae
Exons: 3
Source: RefSeq, a predicted model, not a curated record